GCCGCGUUAGUGUUAAGGUAGCAUAGUAAUUAGUUUCUUAAUUGGGAAAUGGAAUGAAUGGUUUCACUAAAAUAUGAUAUUUAUCCUAAUUUGCGAAAUUUUAAUCUGAGUGAAAAUACUCAGAAGAUAUAUUUAGACGAGAAGACCCUAUGAAGCUGGUAGACUUCCAAUGUAAUUAUACGAUAGUUCAUGAGUUUAUUUUUUGGGGUAAAAUUUAAUAAUAGUAUUAAUAUCGGCUUACUAAAUAAUAUCCUCUUGGAAUUAUGAAAAA
RNAcentral lists this ribosomal RNA (271 nucleotides) under Calanus glacialis. RNAcentral's name for it is "partial 16S ribosomal RNA". Lineage: Eukaryota; Metazoa; Arthropoda; Copepoda; Calanoida; Calanidae. The record is from RNAcentral.